AGAGCGAACGCUGGCGGCAGGCCUAACACAUGCAAGUCGAGCGGCCGUAGCAAUACGGCAGCGGCAGACGGGAUAGUAACACGUGGGAACGCGCCCUUCGGUUCGGAAUAACUCAGGGAAACUUGAGCUAAUACCGGAUACGCCCUUACGGGGAAAGAUUUAUUGCCGAAGGAACGGCCCGCGUCCGAUUAGCUAGUUGGUGAGGUAAUGGCUCACCAAGGCGACGAUCGGUAGCUGGUCUGAGAGGAUGACCAGCAUCACUGGGACUGAGACACGGCCCAGACUCCUACGGGAGGCAGCAGUGGGGAAUAUUGGACAAUGGGCGCAAGCCUGAUCCAGCCAUGCCGCGUGGAUGAUGAAGGCCCGUAGGUUAGUAAAGUUCCGUUUAACGGGAAGAAUAAUGACGGUAACCCGUAGAAUAAGCCCGGACUAACUUCGUGCCAGCAGCCGC
This 451-nucleotide ribosomal RNA is filed under the name uncultured soil bacterium. RNAcentral's name for it is "bacterial SSU rRNA". It matches the Rfam family "Bacterial small subunit ribosomal RNA", at positions 26 to 518 of the family's 1533-position model. The record is from RNAcentral.